AAUAUCAGAUCAGUUAUACAGUCGGCUUCAUCUGCUCUAUGUUGACAUAUGGAGAGUGUGAACACACAGUCGAGUGGUUGUAUGAGGGUAAUAAGAAUAACAUGGUGACAUCACAAGGUUCCUGUUUAGCCACUGUGGCUUUUACAGCUCCUCCUCUUAGCCAGAAGUCAAACUAUUCUGAGUUACUGAAGUGUAACGUGACAGAUAAUAUGAGUGGACAGAUGCUGCUGUGUAGCGUUGACCUCCAGUCCUCAUGUGAGAAAACAGGAAGCACAUUAGAGGGGAGAAACAAAACACCAUCUGGAAAUGAUGAAACAAAACAAGAAUCGUUCUGGAGGUUCAUCAUUGUGUCUGUGGGUUUAGCAGCACUCAUAAUAAUUG
Micropterus salmoides (largemouth bass) is the source of this 381-nucleotide long non-coding RNA. RefSeq lists it as uncharacterized. The transcript is spliced from 3 exons. The record is from RefSeq and is a predicted model, not a curated record. Lineage: Eukaryota; Metazoa; Chordata; Actinopteri; Centrarchiformes; Centrarchidae.